RNAcentral lists this ribosomal RNA (146 nucleotides) under Miamiensis avidus. RNAcentral's name for it is "partial 18S ribosomal RNA". It matches the Rfam family "Eukaryotic small subunit ribosomal RNA", at positions 1674 to 1831 of the family's 1831-position model. The record is from RNAcentral. Lineage: Eukaryota; Ciliophora; Oligohymenophorea; Philasterida; Glauconematidae.
CGUCGCUCCUACCGAUUUCGAGUGAUCCGGUGAACCUUCUGGACUGAGCACGCUUGCGUGAACGGGAAGUUAAGUAAACCUAAUCACUUAGAGGAAGGAGAAGUCGUAACAAGGUUUCCGUAGGUGAACCUGCGGAAGGAUCAUUA